Molecule: non-coding RNA, 21 nt
Organism: Caenorhabditis elegans
Lineage: Eukaryota; Metazoa; Nematoda; Chromadorea; Rhabditida; Rhabditidae
Source: Ensembl
UAGUUACAAUCGAGUAUAUAG